This 291-nucleotide long non-coding RNA is filed under the name Ananas comosus (pineapple). Its description in RNAcentral is "long non-coding RNA (ACOM_LNC002108)". The record is from RNAcentral. Lineage: Eukaryota; Viridiplantae; Streptophyta; Magnoliopsida; Poales; Bromeliaceae.
CUAGCUGCUGUCAGCAGCAGCAGCAGGAGCAGCAGCAUGCGCAGCAGCAGCAGCAGCAACAGCAGCAAUAACAGCAGCAGCAGCUCAGCUAGCAGCAGUGCAGCUCAGCAGCAGCAGCUCAGCUGCAGGGGCAGCAAGAAAGAAAGAAAGCAAGAAAGAAGGAAAGAAAGAAAGAAAGCAAGAAGGAGAAAAGAAAGAAAGAAAGAGAGAAAGAAAGAAAAAGAUGGAAAAUAAGUUAAGGUUUCUAAAGAAACGGGUUUAAUGGAAAACUAACCUCGAUAAUGCACUUUU